Molecule: ribosomal RNA, 263 nt
Filed under: uncultured bacterium
Lineage: Bacteria
Description: partial 16S ribosomal RNA
Rfam family: Bacterial small subunit ribosomal RNA
Source: RNAcentral
GUCCACGCGGUAAACUAUGUCAACUAGCCGUUGGAAGGGUAAUCCUUUUAGUGGCGCAGCUAACGCACUAAGUUGACCGCCUGGGGAGUACGGUCGCAAGAUUAAAACUCAAAUGAAUUGACGGGGGCCCGCACAAGCGGUGGAGCAUGUGGUUUAAUUCGACGCAACGCGAAGAACCUUACCUACUCUUGACAUCCAGAGAACUUGGCAGAGAUGCCUUGGUGCCUUCGGGAGCUCUGAGACAGGUGCUGCAUGGCUGUCGU